Molecule: long non-coding RNA, 3036 nt
Organism: Rattus norvegicus (Norway rat)
Lineage: Eukaryota; Metazoa; Chordata; Mammalia; Rodentia; Muridae
Source: RefSeq, a predicted model, not a curated record
UCCAGACUGAGAGAGCUUGACGGGUCUAAAAUAUAGUAAAUGAAAAGCUUGAUUCUGAAUAAUUCUGAAUUUGACUCCUUUGUGAUUAAGACACACUCUGGAAUCCUUGAUGAGGAUCUGAGUUUUCUAUGAUAGUGAGGAUUGACAAUGUUCAUUCCUCAGUCUGGGUGAGUACAUUGUGUUUACUGAGAAGAAUGUCCUUGUUUGCAGGAAAUACUGAAAAUUUUCAGAGCCAUGAGCCCUGCUUUUGCUAACCACUCUUGAGUGGUUAGAAGAAGCCACUGUACUUUGAGCUUUUCUGUAAGUUUGAGAAAAUAGGAAAAGAGAAGACAGAUAAGGCACAAUUUAACUACAGAAGAUAAACAUGAUAGAUGAGCUAUGAUCAAGGAAAAGUAAGAGUGAUUAUUUGGGUCAUGGAGAAAAUUAGAGACAAACAUUGCAGAAUUUCCAAAGAGAUAGAUGGUUUUAUUGGGUAAUCGGUCAAUCCCAGGAGGCUGGCUGCUUUAGAACAAUGCUCUUGAUCAGGUAGGUGGGGAGUGGGGGAACUGUAAUAAUGAGUGAAGGAAGGGAAGGCCCUUAUGUCUCUGGUGCCCUUUCUUCUCUGAGAGAUACAGCACAAUAACAAAGUCAUUGGAAAUGUGGAAGAAAGCAGGUUUCUUUCAGAGCAGAAAGGGAAGCUGUGACAUGUUUGGAGAGAAGUCAUUAAUCAGAGACCAGGACUUUAAAAGUUUCUCAAUAAAAGUCUGUCCCCAAAAGCAUAACCCCCCCCAAAAAAAAACCCCACACCAUUCUAUCUGGCAAAAUAGCAGGACAUCAGAAUGGUAAGGUCAACACAAUUAGCUGCAACCUGAGAUCACAAACCUACCCUCCUUUUUUUAUCCAACCAGCAAUGGGGCACACACAGACGGGCUCAUUGCAAUGAAUGAGGACUUUUCCAACAUGGAGAGCCCUGCAUCCCAUAGCCUCAUGUUCCGUUUGGUUCUUGUUGCUGUGUCUACUGCUUCACUCCUUACACUGUACUAAAUAAACUUGUUUUAGAAUAAAACAUCCAAAUGGUGAGUCCUUCCACUGACCUACCAAAAUCUCCUGCUAAAACAAAGAAUAAAACAUCCAAAUGGUGAGUCCUUCCACUGACCUACCAAAAUCUCCUGCUAAAACAAAGAAUGCCAAGCUCUAUGUCUUAUUUUGUUUUUGACCAUAUUUAAGAUGAGACAAUAGCUUUAAGAUACUUAAAUUUUGAUUAUGUUAUACAGGAUAAUUUCUUUUCCCUUUGGAAGCAGACAUGAUUUAUUUAGACACAAGAAUCACAGUGUCUCCUACUCCAAUAUAAUUAGAUGUCAUCUAAUGAGGCAAAUAGAACAAAAUGUAAGUAACUUGUGAAUUUUGGAAAGUUUGUAUUGUGGUCUCCUGCAAUAUUUCAAUAUGGUUUACAUUUUGUUUAAAAAUACGAAUAAAUACUGGAUAAAUCUAGCAAGGAUGUAGAGAUAGGAGAUUCGUGUACACGAUUGCCAGGAAAGUAAAUUGAUAACUGUGGAGUUUCUUCAAACCAUAAAAAUAGAGCUAGUUGAGUCAGUUACAUCAUUUCUGGGUAUAUCCCUGAAAGAACAUAUCAGCAUACUACAGGAAUGCUUGCAUGCCUACUGCUACAGUGCUCACAAUAGCUAAGAUAUAAAACCAUCUUAGAAGUCCAUCUACAGCUAGAGAGAAAAUGAACUUGUUUGAGUAGAGAGAUGAGGGAGCUGUGAGGAGUUGGGUGAGUGGGACCUAUGAUCAAAAUAUAAUAUAUGAAAAUUUUCAAUUGAAAAAAUUAAUAUUGGGGUUGGGGAUUUAGCUCAGCGGUAGAGUGCUUGCCUAGCAAGUGCAAGGCCCUGGGUUCGGUCUCCAGCUCUGAAAAAAAAAAGAAAAAAUUAAUAUUGAUGCUAUAUGUAUAAAAUAUAAUGAAACUGUAUGCUCCCAAAGAAUUAAUUAAAAAAGAAAAAUAUGAUACAAUUCAGAAAUUCCUUAUUUUUUUACCUCCUUCGUGGAUAGUUAAGGACAUUUGAUUGGAUGAAACCUGAUGCACAACAUCUUCAGAAAAUUUCUCAAGGAAGGGAAGGAAAAACACCUGGGAGGCAGGCUCUGGGGAUCCCAAAAUGUCAACAACCAAGACAAAUAAAAAUCCCUAUUUUUAAUAAAAUCCCCUGAUAUCUAUUUGUGACAUGACUCUUCUGGUUCCCUUGAGAUAACCAGGGAAAUGUGGAGAAAGGAGACCCAGGUGGUUAGGUUAGACAGCAUUGAGUCCUUUGAAGAUUUCCUCCUGAUCUCUGAACUCAUAGACUCUUCCUCUUCUACUCGCAUCACUUUCAGAGCCUGGGAAAGAACUGAGUAUGUUGUGCCAUACACUGCUACUUCUCUAACUGCAGUCCUAUUUGGAUCUGGAGAGAGCUAUAUUACAUCUCACUGAGAAUUCUAGACCCUUCACCCAGCGAGUACUUAUUGAGUGCUACUUUGAGUUGGAUGCGGAAAUCUUCGCAUGUAUUUGGAGAGCUUACACUCUGACUUGAACUGGGGCUACCACCCAGGAGACAACAGACAACACUGCGCAAAGCAGUGGGAACUAAACUCCCAUAAGGAAACCACAUUUGCUGUGAAUUCAUGAGAGCAGCUUAUACUGAAGACACUGUUUAACCCCAAUCCUCCCUGAUCACUGGCUCUGACAAUAUUCCUAUCUGCUCUCCUGUGAUGGUCCCUGAGCUUUGUGAAGGGCGUGUGAUGUAGAUGUCCUGUUUGUCAGUUGAACAAUCCGCAGUCCCUAGUUCUUUACACUUAGAUUUGUUGAGAAUUUCUGUGUUGAUCAUUAUGCAGUGCAUAAGCUCUGUCUGUUUGUUGGCUCUCCUACGACUAGAAGGUGAGGUGCUAUACAGUCUGCUGGGGAGACUCAUUGGCAGUCUUAUCCAGUUGAGAGCUCCAGUACACUUUUGAAAGACUUUGUAGUGAGUGAUAUAAGUAUUUCUUCCUUGCACAAAUAUAAAAUAAAUUUCAUUUUCCUUCUUUAGA